This 255-nucleotide ribosomal RNA is filed under the name uncultured prokaryote. RNAcentral describes it as "partial 16S ribosomal RNA". It matches the Rfam family "Bacterial small subunit ribosomal RNA", at positions 355 to 626 of the family's 1533-position model. The record is from RNAcentral.
UAAGGAAUAUUGCACAAUGGGGGGAACCCUGAUGCAGCAACGCCGCGUGGGUGAUGAAGGCUUUCGAGUUGUAAAACCCUUUACUGUGGGAUGAGGAAGGACAGUACCACAGGAAAAAGUCUCGGCUAACUACGUGCCAGCAGCCGCGGUGAGACGUAGGAGGCAAGAGUUAUCCGGAUUCACUGGGCGUAAAGGGCAAGGAGGCGGUUGGUCAAGUUGGGCGUGACAGAUCUCUGCGUAACUGAGAGAGGUCGU